UACAGAGGUGGCAAGCGUUGUUCGGAAUUACUGGGUGUAAAGCGUGCGCAGGCGGUUUUGUAAGUCUGUCGUGAAAUCCCCGGGCUCAACCUGGGAAUUGCGAUGGAGACUGCAAGGCUAGAAUCUGGCAGAGGGGGGUAGAAUUCCACGUGUAGCAGUGAAAUGCGUAGAGAUGUGGAGGAACACCGAUGGCGAAGGCAGCCCCCUGGGUCAAGAUUGACGCUCAUGACACGAAAGCGUGGGGAGCAACAGGAUUAGAGUACCCCAAGUA
This 271-nucleotide ribosomal RNA is filed under the name uncultured bacterium. Its description in RNAcentral is "partial 16S ribosomal RNA". It matches the Rfam family "Bacterial small subunit ribosomal RNA", at positions 524 to 792 of the family's 1533-position model. The record is from RNAcentral.